Molecule: ribosomal RNA, 253 nt
Filed under: uncultured bacterium
Lineage: Bacteria
Description: partial 16S ribosomal RNA
Rfam family: Bacterial small subunit ribosomal RNA
Source: RNAcentral
UACGAAGGGGGCUAGCGUUGCUCGGAAUCACUGGGCGUAAAGGGUGCGUAGGCGGGUCUUUAAGUCAGGGGUGAAAUCCUGGAGCUCAACCUCGGAAUUGCCUUUGAUACUGGCUGUCUUGAGUUCGGGAGAGGUGAGUGGAAUGCCGAGUGUAGAGGUGAAAUUCGUAGAUAUUCGGCGGAACACCAGUGGCGAAGGCGACUCACUGGCCCGAUACUGACGCUGAGGCGCGAAAGCGUGGGGAGCAAACAGG